AACCAGACUCCUACGGGAGGUAGCAGUGGGGGAUAUUGCACAAUGGGGGAAACCCUGAUGCAGCGACGCCGCGUGAGUGAAGAAGUACUUCGUUAUGUAAAGCUCUAUCAGCAGGGAAGAAAAUGACGGUACCUGAGUAAGAAGCCCCGGCUAACUACGUGCCAGCAGCCGCGGUAAUACGUAGGGGGCAAGCGUUAUCCGGAUUUACUGGGUGUAAAGGGAGCGUAGACGGUGAGACAAGUCUGAAGUGAAAGCCCGGGGCUCAACCCCGGGACUGCUUUGGAAACUGCCUGACUGGAGUGCUGGAGAGGCAAGCGGAAUUCCUAGUGUAGCGGUGAAAUGCGUAGAUAUUAGGAAGAACGCCAGUGGCGAAGGCGGCUUGCUGGACAGUAACUGACGUUGAGGCUCGAAAGCGUGGGGAGCAAACAGGAUUAGAUCCCCCAGUA
RNAcentral lists this ribosomal RNA (446 nucleotides) under uncultured bacterium. Its description in RNAcentral is "bacterial SSU rRNA". It matches the Rfam family "Bacterial small subunit ribosomal RNA", at positions 329 to 792 of the family's 1533-position model. The record is from RNAcentral.